GCUGAAAGGGCGAGGAACCAAGGGCGCAAAUAUCCCCUAAGGAGAAAACGCGCGGAUCCUUUCAAGUCGGGUCGGGUCGCGUGGUUAAAGCUCGAAACGGCGCCGUUUUGGUGUAAAUGAAACUACGUCGUUUAAUGCAAUUAUAAAAGCCCAAAAAAAAAACAAAAAUUCAUUUCAGCCCUUGCUUCAAAAAAAAACUGAAGAGUGACUCAAAGCCUCUCUCCCUCUCCUCUUCUCCGGCCAAUAUGGCCACCAUCUGUCCGUCGGCUACCCGCCGGCCACCGGCGACGGCACCGCCGUGCAUGGUGGCCGGGAAACCCAAAAGUGCCCCUUUUUUAGCCCGUUUUAAGCCUAGAUUUUAGAUCUAGAAGACAAAUGCCUGAAAAGUAAAAAAAAAAAAGAAGAAGAAAAGAUUCGACCUUUGCCCCCUUUUUUACCGAUCUCGACGCCGGGAAAAAGACCACCGACGGAGGGGCCACGGGCCGAUUCUGGUAAGUUUGCUUUCCUUUUUAUUUGUUAAAACACUUGUAAAGAAAAUAAAUAAAUAAAAGAUGAAUAAAAAAGAAAACAAAAAAUGAAACAAUAGAAUCUCAACCUUUUCCUUCUAUUUAGGAAUUUAAAGGUCAUAAAUAAAAGUAAGUACUGUAUGAUAUAUAUAUAAAAUGUAUAGAUCGGGAAAAGGUAGAUUAAUUAAUCUCAGUUUUCAGCCAUUUCACUUUCAAAUCAACGUACCCACAAGAUCCUCUAAAUCCCAGAAAUGUAUAAGUUCUUAUCAUAUUUUUUCUGUUCGAAAUGAUCAUUUUAUCCUUCAUUAUCUGCAAUAACAUAGCUUCAUGUCUUAUCUACUUACGAUGUAAAAACAAAGUUUUUAUCUUAAAUUUUAUUUAAAUGUAGAAGCUAAUUAGAUGUUAUAAUCAUAAAUUUUCUUGUAUAUAACUUCGAUGAAAAAAAAAGGGUGGAUUUUGGAGAAAUUUACUAAAGAAAUGAAAGGAAGUUUAUAUCUUCCUUCAAUAUGUGUAUUAACAAAUAUUAUUUAGGCAUUUUGCUUUCACAAAUUUUGAGUAUAAUUUUGUAUUUUCCCAUUCCCCCACUUUGAUCCAUAAACAUCCCCAUCUAACCGAUUGCCUACUAUGCUUCAGCAAAUGGUUGCCAUUUUAUGCAACAAUGGAAUCCAAAGGAACUGAUCACCAUUUCAUGCAGAUUCAUUUGUUUGUCUGCACCUCAACAAUAUGACAGGAGCCACCAACAUCCACACUGCAACAAAUAUCAAGUCCUUAAGGAUCGUCCGAAACUCAUCGAUAAUAGUCGAGUUAUGUACUUACAGUAAACACUGACGGCUAGCCAUUCGUU
This 1350-nucleotide long non-coding RNA is filed under the name Gossypium raimondii (Peruvian cotton). RNAcentral's name for it is "long non-coding RNA (GRAI_LNC000006)". The record is from RNAcentral. Lineage: Eukaryota; Viridiplantae; Streptophyta; Magnoliopsida; Malvales; Malvaceae.